AUCCAGCUGACGAGUCCCAAAUGGGGCGAAACGCGCGUUUUGGAU
Molecule: non-coding RNA, 45 nt
Filed under: Schistosoma mansoni
Lineage: Eukaryota; Metazoa; Platyhelminthes; Trematoda; Strigeidida; Schistosomatidae
Source: RNAcentral